Molecule: ribosomal RNA, 474 nt
Filed under: uncultured bacterium
Lineage: Bacteria
Description: bacterial SSU rRNA
Rfam family: Bacterial small subunit ribosomal RNA
Source: RNAcentral
CGCUGGCGGCGUGCCUAACACAUGCAAGUCGAACGAGAAAGGCUCCUUCGGGAGCCCGGUACAGUGGCGCACGGGUGAGUAACACGUGGGUAAUCUGCCCUCGAGUGGGGAAUAACCCAGGGAAACUUGGGCUAAUACCGCAUAACAUCCCGGCUCCCUCGGGAAUCGGGAUCAAAGCUGGGGAUCGCAAGACCUGGCGCUUGAGGAAGAGCCUGCGCCUGAUUAGUUUGUUGGUAGGGUAACGGCCUACCAAGGCGACGAUCAGUANCCGGCCUGAGAGGGUGAUCGGCCACACUGGAACUGAGACACGGUCCAGACUCCUACGGGAGGCAGCAGUGAGGAAUUUUGCGCAAUGGGCGAAAGCCUGACGCAGCAACGCCGCGUGGAUGAUGAAGGCCUUCGGGUCGUAAAAUCCUGUCAAGUGGGAAGAAAUCCGACCGGCGAAUAGCCGAGCGGAUUGACUGUACCACUGGA